Molecule: ribosomal RNA, 379 nt
Filed under: uncultured eukaryote
Lineage: Eukaryota
Description: partial 18S ribosomal RNA
Rfam family: Eukaryotic small subunit ribosomal RNA
Source: RNAcentral
CAAUAGCGUAUAUUAAAGUUGUUGCGGUUAAAAAGCUCGUAGUUGGAUUUCUGCUGAGAACGACCGGUCCGCCCUCUGGGUGUGUAUCUGGCUCUUUCUUGGCAUCUUCUUGGUGAACGUUGCUGCACUUGACUGUGUGGAGCGCUACCCAGGACUUUUACUUUGAGGAAAUUAGAGUGUUUCAAGCAGGCAUACGCCUUGAAUACAUUAGCAUGGAAUAAUAAGAUAGGACCUCGGUUCUAUUUUGUUGGUUUCUAGAGCUGAGGUAAUGAUUAAUAGGGAUAGUUGGGGGCAUUCGUAUUUAACUGUCAGAGGUGAAAUUCUUGGAUUUGCUAAAGACGGACUACUGCGAAAGCAUUUGCCAAGGAUGUUUUCAUUG